GGCUCAGGAUGAACGCUAGCUACAGGCUUAACACAUGCAAGUCGAGGGGCAGCAUGGUCUUAGCUUGCUAAGGCCGAUGGCGACCGGCGCACGGGUGAGUAACACGUAUCCAACCUGCCGUCUACUCUUGGACAGCCUUCUGAAAGGAAGAUUAAUACAAGAUGGCAUCAUGAGUCCGCAUGUUCACAUGAUUAAAGGUAUUCCGGUAGACGAUGGGGAUGCGUUCCAUUAGAUAGUAGGCGGGGUAACGGCCCACCUAGUCUUCGAUGGAUAGGGGUUCUGAGAGGAAGGUCCCCCACAUUGGAACUGAGACACGGUCCAAACUCCUACGGGAGGCAGCAGUGAGGAAUAUUGGUCAAUGGACGAGAGUCUGAACCAGCCAAGUAGCGUGAAGGAUGACUGCCCUAUGGGUUGUAAACUUCUUUUAUACGGGAAUAAAGUUAGCCACGUGUGGUUUUUGUAUGUACCGUAUGAAUAAGGAUCGGCUAACUCCGUG
RNAcentral lists this ribosomal RNA (496 nucleotides) under uncultured bacterium. Its description in RNAcentral is "bacterial SSU rRNA". It matches the Rfam family "Bacterial small subunit ribosomal RNA", at positions 21 to 507 of the family's 1533-position model. The record is from RNAcentral.